CCCACCCUACUAUCACCAACCCACCAUCACUACUGAAUAAGUUCAUAAAUUAUGAAAAUUACCAUGCUAGAACUAGUAACAAGAAAACGAAUUUCUCCAAAGUGCAAACAUAAGCCAGAAUGGACAACCCGCUGGCAAUUAGCGAUUCUGAAUCAACUAUAGCAAAUUUCUUCUAGAAAACCCUAUAUUAUGUAUCGUCAACCUCACACAAGAGCCCUCCUGGAAAGAUUAAAAGGAAGAGAAGGAACUCGGCAAAUCUUAACCCCGCCUGUUUACCAAAAACACCGCCUCCUGCUUAAAUAUAAGAGGUCCAGCCUGCCCAGUGUUCAUAUCAACGGCCGCGUGAUUUAAGCGCGCGAAGGUAGCAUAAUCAUUUGUUCUUUAAAUGAGGACUUGUAUCAAUGGCAUCACGAGGGUUAUACUGUCUCCUCUACCCAAUCAGUGAAACUAAUUUCCCUGUGAAAAAGCAGGGAUAAAAAUAUAAGACGAGAAGACCCCAUGGAGCUUAAAACUCAGCAACAACCCUGAUGAUGUAACCAAUAUAAUUUUAAGUCCUGUGUGCUAGUUUUAGGUUGGGGUGACCGCGGAGCAAAACAAAACCUCCACAACGAAAAGGGUAAUACCCUUAUUCAAGAAAUACUUUUCUAAAAAUUAUCAAAAUAACGUUUAAUGAUCCGAUUAUCGACCAACGAACCAAGUUACCCUGGGGAUAACAGCGCAAUCCACUCUAAGAGCCCUUAUCGACGAGUGGGCUUACGACCUCGAUGUUGGAUCAGGGUAUCCAAGUGGUGCAGCCGCUACUAAAGG
This 807-nucleotide ribosomal RNA is filed under the name Occidozyga cf. laevis KU 334623. RNAcentral describes it as "partial large subunit ribosomal RNA". It matches the Rfam family "Bacterial large subunit ribosomal RNA", at positions 1541 to 2571 of the family's 2925-position model. Lineage: Eukaryota; Metazoa; Chordata; Amphibia; Anura; Dicroglossidae. The record is from RNAcentral.